UGGGGGAUAUUGCACAAUGGGCGAAAGCCUGAUGCAGCGACGCCGCGUGGGGGAUGAAGGCCUUCGGGUUGUAAACUUCUUUUGCUCUGAACAAGGCGCACUUUGGGGUGUGUUGAGUGUAGGGGUUGAUUAGCGCCGGCUAACUACGUGCCAGCAGCCGCGGUAAUACGUAGGGCGCGAGCGUUGUCCGGAAUUAUUGGGCGUAAAGGGCUUGUAGGUGGCUGGUUGCGUCUGUCGUGAAAGCUCAUGGCUUAACUGUGGGUUUGCGGUGGGUACGGGCUGGCUUGAGUGCAGUAGGGGAGGCUGGAAUUCCUGGUGUAGCGGUGGAAUGCGCAGAUAUCAGGAGGAAUACCGGUGGCGAAGGCGGGUCUCUGGGCUGUUACUGACACUGAGGAGCGAAAGCAUGGGGAGCGAACAGG
This 419-nucleotide ribosomal RNA is filed under the name bacterium. RNAcentral describes it as "partial 16S ribosomal RNA". It matches the Rfam family "Bacterial small subunit ribosomal RNA", at positions 355 to 776 of the family's 1533-position model. The record is from RNAcentral.